This 253-nucleotide ribosomal RNA is filed under the name uncultured bacterium. RNAcentral describes it as "partial 16S ribosomal RNA". It matches the Rfam family "Bacterial small subunit ribosomal RNA", at positions 524 to 776 of the family's 1533-position model. The record is from RNAcentral.
UACGUAGGUGGCAAGCGUUGUCCGGAAUUACUGGGCGUAAAGGGCGUGUAGGUGGCUUGCUAAGUCAGACGUGAAAUCCCUCAGCUUAACUGGGGAACUGCGUCUGAGACUGGCAGGCUUGAGUGCAGGAGAGGAACGCGGAAUUCCAGGUGUAGCGGUGAAAUGCGUAGAUAUCUGGAGGAACACCGGUGGCGAAGGCGGCAUCCUGGACCGGCAUUGACGCUGAGGCGCGAAAGCCAGGGGAGCAAACGGG